Molecule: long non-coding RNA, 429 nt
Organism: Drosophila sulfurigaster albostrigata
Lineage: Eukaryota; Metazoa; Arthropoda; Insecta; Diptera; Drosophilidae
Exons: 2
Source: RefSeq, a predicted model, not a curated record
UUCAAACUUUGGCUGAACUAAAAAUUAUACGAUUAUAUCAAUGGCAAGUGCUGGAUAUAAAAUCUAUACACAACCCUCUACAUGUUUUUUAUUUGUCAUUUGAUGAAAUAUAAGAGAAAAACAAAUUAUCCGGAUAUUAAGUAAGUAUUAAGAUAUUCAGUAAUACGAAUAAGUAAUUUCGUUAAAAUUCUCCAAAUUAGAUGGUCCAACUACUUGUAUAAGACGCAUUUGCAUAAUAAACAAAAGUUGACAUCAUUUGGUGGGCCCAGCAUCGAAAUUUAGUAAGAGCUAUAAUCAAAUGAUUAUUCAAAGCCCUUCACCUUUCGGCGUAGGUGGGCUUAAAAGACAGAUCGUAUCUCAACUGAGAUUUAUAACUUGUUGCCAAGCUUUUAAGUUAAACAAUGUCGCUUUUCUUUCACUUAUAAUUGA